Molecule: ribosomal RNA, 585 nt
Filed under: uncultured bacterium
Lineage: Bacteria
Description: partial 16S ribosomal RNA
Rfam family: Bacterial small subunit ribosomal RNA
Source: RNAcentral
UGGGGAAUUUUGGACAAUGGGCGAAAGCCUGAUCCAGCAAUGCCGCGUGUGUGAAGAAGGCCUUCGGGUUGUAAAGCACUUUUGUCCGGAAAGAAAUCCUUGGCUCUAAUACAGUCGGGGGAUGACGGUACCGGAAGAAUAAGCACCGGCUAACUACGUGCCAGCAGCCGCGGUAAUACGUAGGGUGCAAGCGUUAAUCGGAAUUACUGGGCGUAAAGCGUGCGCAGGCGGUUUGCUAAGACCGAUGUGAAAUCCCCGGGCUCAACCUGGGAACUGCAUUGGUGACUGGCAGGCUAGAGUAUGGCAGAGGGGGGUAGAAUUCCACGUGUAGCAGUGAAAUGCGUAGAGAUGUGGAGGAAUACCGAUGGCGAAGGUAGCCCCCUGGGCCAAUACUGACGCUCAUGCACGAAAGCGUGGGGAGCAAACAGGAUUAGAUACCCUGGUAGUCCACGCCCUAAACGAUGUCAACUAGUUGUUGGGGAUUCAUUUCCUUAGUAACGUAGCUAACGCGUGAAGUUGACCGCCUGGGGAGUACGGUCGCAAGAUUAAAACUUAAAUGAAUUGACGGGGUCAUAGCUGUUUCCU